GAUGAACGCUGGCGGCGUGCCUAAUACAUGCAAGUCGAGCGAACGGACGAGAAGCUUGCUUUUCUGAUGUUAGCGGCGGACGGGUGGGUAACACGUGGAUAACCUACCUAUAAGACUGGGAUAACUUCGGGAAACCGGAGCUAAUACCGGAUAAUAUUUUGAACCGCAUGGUUCAUAAGUGAAAGACGGUCUUGCUGUCACUUAUAGAUGGAUCCGCGCUGCAUUAGCUAGUUGGUAAGGUGACGGCUUACCAAGGCAACGAUGCAUAGCCGACCUGAGAGGGUGAUCGGCCACACUGGAACUGAGACACGGUCCAGACUCCUACGGGAGGCAGCAGUAGGGAAUCUUCCGCAAAGGGCGAAAGCCUGACGGAGCAACGCCGCGUGAGUGAUGAAGGUCUUCGGAUCGUAAAACUCUGUUAUUAGGGAAGAACAUAUGUGUAAGUAACUGUGCACAUCUUGACGGUACCUAAUCAGAAAGCCACGGCUAACUACGUG
This 497-nucleotide ribosomal RNA is filed under the name uncultured bacterium. RNAcentral describes it as "partial 16S ribosomal RNA". It matches the Rfam family "Bacterial small subunit ribosomal RNA", at positions 28 to 507 of the family's 1533-position model. The record is from RNAcentral.